GGCACGGUAGCUUAGUGGUUAGCACUGGUGCCUCGCACCUCCAGGGUGGGGGUUCGAUUCCCACCUCUGCCC
Non-coding RNA from Pangasianodon gigas (Mekong giant catfish), 72 nucleotides. Lineage: Eukaryota; Metazoa; Chordata; Actinopteri; Siluriformes; Pangasiidae. The record is from the annotation of a GenBank genome assembly.